AAAUGCGAUAAGUAAUGUGAAUUGCAGAAUUCAGUGAAUCAUCGAAUCUUUGAACGCACAUUGCGCCCGCCAGCACUCUGGCGGGCAUGCCUGUUCGAGCGUCAUUUCAACCCUCAGAGCCCCUUGCGGGAUCUGGCGUUGGGGAUUGGCAUCCAGCCAGCCCCGAAAUCUAGUGGCGGUCCCUCCGCGACCUCCCCUGUGCAGUAGCGAUACCUCGCAGCGGGACAGCGGUCUGACCACGCCGUAAAACCCCCAACUUCUCAAGGUUGACCUCGAAUCAGGUAGGAAUACCCGCUGAACUUAAGC
Molecule: unclassified non-coding RNA, 306 nt
Filed under: plant metagenome
Description: partial contains 5.8S ribosomal RNA, internal transcribed spacer 2, and large subunit ribosomal RNA
Rfam family: 5.8S ribosomal RNA (bases 1-104)
Source: RNAcentral